AUGGGACAUUUGUACAAUCCACAUAUGAAGAUAAGGAAGAAAGAGAUGUUUAUUUGCUGUCCAAAAAGUUCUCUCACGUCACUUUUGGCCCAAGAGAAGAUAGAGUCCAAGUCUCUCACGUUCUGGAUUCAGAUUCGGACUGCACAGACAUACCUGACUCAAAACGCACACAAGUUUUUCAUACGGACUCCGAAUUGGGUGAUUCUUUUUUUGUUGGAAACUAGAUUUCGUGCACUUUCCAACCCAAUUGGAAUCACCUUCAAAUUCGUCCGGAGCGUUGAGUUGUGGACGAAACAAUCUGAUGCUGCAGCAGAAUCCGAGUCAAACUACAAGUCCAAAGGUGUUACAUCACCUCCACUUGGGCCCAUUGGCCUUGUACGACCUAGAUUUAGUUUUAGGCUGCCUUGGGACGUCCUCCCACCUCCUUGGCCGCCACCCCUUGCUCCUAUAUAA
Molecule: ribosomal RNA, 453 nt
Filed under: Triticum aestivum (bread wheat)
Lineage: Eukaryota; Viridiplantae; Streptophyta; Magnoliopsida; Poales; Poaceae
Description: partial small subunit ribosomal RNA
Source: RNAcentral